CCUACGGGAGGCAGCAGUGAGGAAUAUUUGUCAAUGGGCUUACGCCUGAACCAGCCAAGUCGCGUGAGGGAAGACUGCCCUAUGGGUUGUAAACCUCUUUUGUCAGGGAGCAACGCCGGCUACGUGUAGCCUGACUGAUAGUCCCUGACGAAAAAGCAUCGGCUAACUCCGAGCCAGCAGCCGCGGUGAUACGGAGGAUGCGAGGGUUAUCCGGAUUUAUUGGGUUUAAGGGGUGCCUAGGCGGAAUGCCAAGUCAGCGGUAAAGUCGCGGGGCUAAACGGCGCCCUGCCGUUGAAACUGGCGGUCUUGAGGGUGGGAGAGGUGGGCGGAAUGCGAGGUGUAGCGGUGAAAUGCGUAGAGAUCAGGAAGAACACCUGUUGCGAAGGCAGCAUACUGG
Molecule: ribosomal RNA, 397 nt
Filed under: uncultured bacterium
Lineage: Bacteria
Description: partial 16S ribosomal RNA
Rfam family: Bacterial small subunit ribosomal RNA
Source: RNAcentral